RNAcentral lists this ribosomal RNA (468 nucleotides) under uncultured bacterium. Its description in RNAcentral is "partial 16S ribosomal RNA". It matches the Rfam family "Bacterial small subunit ribosomal RNA", at positions 28 to 507 of the family's 1533-position model. The record is from RNAcentral.
GACGAACGCUGGCGGCGUGCUUAACACAUGCAAGUCGAACGGAAAGGCCCUGCUUUUGUGGGGUGCUCGAGUGGCGAACGGGUGAGUAACACGUGAGUAACCUGCCCUUGACUUUGGGAUAACUUCAGGAAACUGGGGCUAAUACCGGAUAGGAGCUCCUGCUGCAUGGUGGGGGUUGGAAAGUUUCGGCGGUUGGGGAUGGACUCGCGGCUUAUCAGCUUGUUGGUGGGGUAGUGGCUUACCAAGGCUUUGACGGGUAGCCGGCCUGAGAGGGUGGCCGGCGACAUUAGUACUGAGAUACGGCCCAGUCUCCUACGGGAGGCAGCAGUGGGAAAUAUUGCACAGUGGGCGGAAGCCUGAUACAGAAGCGCCGCGUGCGGGAUGCCGGCCUUCGGGUUGAAAACCGCUUUCGCCUGUGACGAAGCGUGAGUGACGGUAAUGGGUAAGGAAGCACCGGCUAACUACGUG